This is a non-coding RNA of Sporormia fimetaria CBS 119925, 97 nucleotides long. NCBI's taxonomy places the organism in Eukaryota, Fungi, Ascomycota, Dothideomycetes, Pleosporales, Sporormiaceae. The record is from the annotation of a GenBank genome assembly.
UCCGAUAUGGUCUAGUGGCUAGGAUUUGCCGCUCUCAUCAAGCACCCCCAGCUUGAGCAGCGCCGGCAAGGCCCGGGUUCAAUUCCCGGUGUCGGAA